GGGGUUGUGGCUCAGUGGUAGAGUGUUCGCCUACCACGUGCGAAGUUCUGGGUUUGAUCCUCAGCACCACA
Molecule: transfer RNA, 71 nt
Filed under: Marmota monax (woodchuck)
Lineage: Eukaryota; Metazoa; Chordata; Mammalia; Rodentia; Sciuridae
Description: tRNA.Gly
Source: RNAcentral